AUAAAUCUUCAGGGCAGGGUGAGAUUCCCGACCGGUGGUAUAGCCCACGAACCGUAAGGUGUGAUUUCGGUGAAAUUCCGAGGCCGACAGUAUAUAAGUCUGGAUAAAAGGAAGAUUAUU
Molecule: non-coding RNA, 120 nt
Filed under: Clostridium oryzae
Lineage: Bacteria; Bacillati; Bacillota; Clostridia; Eubacteriales; Clostridiaceae
Description: FMN sequence
Rfam family: FMN riboswitch aptamer (RFN element)
About the family: The RFN element is a highly conserved domain that is found frequently in the 5'-untranslated regions of prokaryotic mRNAs that encode for flavin mononucleotide (FMN) biosynthesis and transport proteins.
Source: Rfam by way of RNAcentral